Molecule: ribosomal RNA, 460 nt
Filed under: uncultured bacterium
Lineage: Bacteria
Description: partial 16S ribosomal RNA
Rfam family: Bacterial small subunit ribosomal RNA
Source: RNAcentral
CCUACGGGUGGCAGCAGUGAGGAAUAUUGGUCAAUGGGCGCGAGCCUGAACCAGCCAAGUCGCGUGAGGGAAGACGGCCCUACGGGUUGUAAACCCCUUCUGUCGGGGAGCAAAGCGCGCCACGCGUGGCGCCACCGAGAGUACCCGGCGAAAAAGCAUCGGCUAACUCCGUGCCAGCAGCCGCGGUAAUACGGAGGAUGCGAGCGUUAUCCGGAUUUAUUGGGUUUAAAGGGUGCGUAGGCGGUGUGUUUAGUCAGUGGUCAAAUUGAGGGGCUCAACCCCUUCCCGCCAUUGAAACUGGCGCUCUUGAGUGUAAGAGAAGUAUGCGGAAUGCGUGGUGUAGCGGUGAAAUGCAUAGAUAUCACGCAGAACUCCGGUUGCGAAGGCAGCAUACCGGCGCGCAACUGACGCUCAUGCACGAAAGCGUGGGUAUCGAACAGGAUUAGAUACCCGUGUAGUC